This 891-nucleotide ribosomal RNA is filed under the name Acinetobacter johnsonii. Its description in RNAcentral is "bacterial SSU rRNA". It matches the Rfam family "Bacterial small subunit ribosomal RNA", at positions 94 to 979 of the family's 1533-position model. The record is from RNAcentral. Lineage: Bacteria; Pseudomonadati; Pseudomonadota; Gammaproteobacteria; Moraxellales; Moraxellaceae.
AGCGGCGGACGGGUGAGUAAUGCUUAGGAAUCUGCCUAUUAGUGGGGGACAACAUUCCGAAAGGRAUGCUAAUACCGCAUACGCCCUACGGGGGAAAGCAGGGGAUCUUCGGACCUUGCGCUAAUAGAUGAGCCUAAGUCAGAUUAGCUAGUUGGUGGGGUAAAGGCCUACCAAGGCGACGAUCUGUAGCGGGUCUGAGAGGAUGAUCCGCCACACUGGGACUGAGACACGGCCCAGACUCCUACGGGAGGCAGCAGUGGGGAAUAUUGGACAAUGGGCGMAAGCCUGAUCCAGCCAUGCCGCGUGUGUGAAGAAGGCCUUUUGGUUGUAAAGCACUUUAAGCGAGGAGGAGGCUACUUGGAUUAAUACUCUAGGAUAGUGGACGUUACUCGCAGAAUAAGCACCGGCUAACUCUGUGCCAGCAGCCGCGGUAAUACAGAGGGUGCGAGCGUUAAUCGGAUUUACUGGGCGUAAAGCGUGCGUAGGCGGCUUYUUAAGUCGGAUGUGAAAUCCCUGAGCUUAACUUAGGAAUUGCAUUCGAUACUGGGAAGCUAGAGUAUGGGAGAGGAUGGUAGAAUUCCAGGUGUAGCGGUGAAAUGCGUAGAGAUCUGGAGGAAUACCGAUGGCGAAGGCAGCCAUCUGGCCUAAUACUGACGCUGAGGUACGAAAGCAUGGGGAGCAAACAGGAUUAGAUACCCUGGUAGUCCAUGCCGUAAACGAUGUCUACUAGCCGUUGGGGCCUUUGAGGCUUUAGUGGCGCAGCUAACGCGAUAAGUAGACCGCCUGGGGGAGUACGGUCGCAAGACUAAAACUCAAAUGAAUUGACGGGGGCCCGCACAAGCGGUGGAGCAUGUGGUUUAAUUCGAUGCAACGCGAAGAACCUUACCUGGU